This 440-nucleotide ribosomal RNA is filed under the name uncultured bacterium. RNAcentral's name for it is "bacterial SSU rRNA". It matches the Rfam family "Bacterial small subunit ribosomal RNA", at positions 338 to 795 of the family's 1533-position model. The record is from RNAcentral.
CCUACGGGUGGCUGCAGUGGGGAAUAUUGGACAAUGGGGGCAACCCUGAUCCAGCAAUGCCGCGUGAGUGAAGAAGGCCUUCGGGUUGUAAAGCUCUUUUGUCCGGGACGAUGAUGACGGUACCGGAAGAAUAAGCCCCGGCUAACUUCGUGCCAGCAGCCGCGGUAAUACGAAGGGGGCUAGCGUUGCUCGGAAUCACUGGGCGUAAAGGGCGCGUAGGCGGCGCGGUCAGUCAGGCGUGAAAGCCCGGGGCUCAACCUCGGAAUUGCGCUUGAUACUGUCGCGCUUGAGGACGGGAGAGGACAGUGGAAUUCCCAGUGUAGAGGUGAAAUUCGUAGAUAUUGGGAAGAACACCGACGGCGAAGGCAGCUGUCUGGACCGUUUCUGACGCUGAGGCGCGAAAGCGUGGGGAGCAAACAGGAUUAGAUACCCUUGUAGUC